RNAcentral lists this unclassified non-coding RNA (254 nucleotides) under Glomeromycotina sp. Its description in RNAcentral is "partial contains small subunit ribosomal RNA, internal transcribed spacer 1, and 5.8S ribosomal RNA". The stretch from base 1 to 47 matches the Rfam family "Eukaryotic small subunit ribosomal RNA", at positions 1785 to 1831 of the family's 1831-position model. Lineage: Eukaryota; Fungi; Glomeromycota. The record is from RNAcentral.
AAAGUCGUAACAAGGUUUCCGUAGGUGAACCUGCGGAAGGAUCAUUAUUAUUUGGAUCGAAAUUUACUUCUAGUAUUGGUCACGACUAUUUUGGAGUAAAUUUCUUACCAAAUAGUUCUAACAUUUACUUCCUAUAUUUAAUAUAUAGGAGCAAGAUGAACAAAAUAUUUAAAACCCCCCCACUCUUAAAUAUCUAUACGUAUUUUAAAUCGAUAAAUUAAAGAUCACUUUCAACAACGGAUCUCUUGGUUCUC